GGAAAAGCAAUAAAAGGGAUGGAUGAAAGAUAUGGUCAUUUAAAGUGAGCAAUGUUAGAAGGAUGGAGGCAUUUGAGAUGUGGUUCUAGAAAAUAAUGGAUUGCAUAGACAUAUGCAAACCUAAGAACAGGUGUUAACUUCCAGUCACUCAAUCCUAUGGUUCCGUGAACUAGAAGAGGCAGUUCCAUAAAAAGUCGAAGAAAAUACUCUUGAUAGUUUCCAUCUUUAACACAUGAUGACAGUUGUGGACGAGGUUUAUCAUGCCAACGCUGGCGAACGUUUCGUAAAAAUCUUAGGCAACCUAACCAUGUAGAGUCGGAUACUUUAUUGAAAUGAUUAAAGAAUUCAGGAUCGAUACGGUCCAUCCAACCUA
This is a long non-coding RNA of Xenia sp. Carnegie-2017, 373 nucleotides long. RefSeq lists it as uncharacterized. NCBI's taxonomy places the organism in Eukaryota, Metazoa, Cnidaria, Anthozoa, Malacalcyonacea, Xeniidae. The transcript has 2 exons. The record is from RefSeq and is a predicted model, not a curated record.